RNAcentral lists this ribosomal RNA (224 nucleotides) under uncultured Lactobacillus sp. RNAcentral's name for it is "partial 16S ribosomal RNA". It matches the Rfam family "Bacterial small subunit ribosomal RNA", at positions 138 to 355 of the family's 1533-position model. The record is from RNAcentral. Lineage: Bacteria; Bacillati; Bacillota; Bacilli; Lactobacillales; Lactobacillaceae.
UCGGGAUAACACCUGGAAACAGAUGCUAAUACCGGAUAACAACAGAUGAUGCCUAUCAACUGUUUAAAAGAUGGUUCUGCUAUCACUCUUGGAUGGACCUGCGGUGCAUUAGCUAGUUGGUAGGGUAACGGCCUACCAAGGCGAUGAUGCAUAGCCGAGUUGAGAGACUGAUCGGCCACAUUGGGACUGAGACACGGCCCAAACUCCUACGGGAGGCAGCAGUC